GUGCUCGCUUGGGCAGCACAUAUACCAAAAUUGGAGCGAUACAGAGAAGAUUAGCAUCGUCCCCGCGCAAGGGUGACACGCAGAUUCUUGAAGAAGCACUCCAUAUUUUU
Small nuclear RNA from Mirounga angustirostris (Northern elephant seal), 110 nucleotides. Lineage: Eukaryota; Metazoa; Chordata; Mammalia; Carnivora; Phocidae. The record is from RefSeq and is a predicted model, not a curated record.